This 458-nucleotide ribosomal RNA is filed under the name uncultured bacterium. RNAcentral's name for it is "partial 16S ribosomal RNA". It matches the Rfam family "Bacterial small subunit ribosomal RNA", at positions 338 to 795 of the family's 1533-position model. The record is from RNAcentral.
CCUACGGGAGGCAGCAGUGAGGAAUAUUGGUCAAUGGGCGCGAGCCUGAACCAGCCAAGUCGCGUGAGGGAGUACUGCCCUAUGGGUUGUAAACCUCUUUUGUCGGGGAGCAAAAGCCGGACGUGUCCGGCUGUGAGAGUACCCGAAGACACAGCAUCGGCUAACUCCGGGCCAGCAGCCGCGGUAAUACGGAGGAUGCGAGCGUUAUCCGGAUUUAUUGGGUUUAAAGGUUGCGCAGGCGGAUUUUUAAGUCAGCGGUAAAAUCGUGGGGCUCAACCCCAUCCAGCAGUUGAUACUGGGGAUCUAGAGUGUGCGAGAGGUAUGCGGAAUGCGUGGUGUAGCGGUGAAAUGCAUAGAGAUCACGCAGAACCCCGAUUGCGAAGGCAGCAUACCGGUGCACAACUGACGCUCAGGCACGAAAGCGUGGGUAUCGAACAGGAUUAGAUACCCUUGUAGUC